Cynocephalus volans (Philippine flying lemur) is the source of this 107-nucleotide small nuclear RNA. NCBI's taxonomy places the organism in Eukaryota, Metazoa, Chordata, Mammalia, Dermoptera, Cynocephalidae. The record is from RefSeq and is a predicted model, not a curated record.
GUGCUCACUUCAACGGUAUAUAUACUAAAAUUGGAAUGAUAAAGAGAAGAUUAACAUGGCCCCCGCACAAGGAUGAUAGGCAAAAUUUAAAAAGGAAUAUGUACAGU